AACGAACGCUGGCGGCAUGCCUAACACAUGCAAGUCGAACGAGACCUUCGGGUCUAGUUGCGCACGGGUGCGUAACGCGUGGGAACCUGCCCUUAGGUUCGGAAUAACUCCCCGAAAGGGGUGCUAAUACCGGAUAAUGUCUUCGGACCAAAGAUUUAUCGCCUUUGGAUGGGCCCGCGUUGGAUUAGCUAGUUGGUAGGGUAAAAGCCUACCAAGGCGACGAUCCAUAGCUGGUCUGAGAGGAUGAUCAGCCACACUGGGGCUGAGACACGGCCCAGAAUCGUACGGAAGGCAGCAGUGGGGAAUAUUGGACAAGGGGCGAAAGCCUGAUCCAGCAAUGCGGCGGGAGUGAUGAAGGCCUUAGGGUUGUAAAGCUCUUUUACACGGGAUGAUAAUGACAGUAACGGGAGAAUAAGCUCCGGCUAACUACGUG
Molecule: ribosomal RNA, 433 nt
Filed under: uncultured bacterium
Lineage: Bacteria
Description: partial 16S ribosomal RNA
Rfam family: Bacterial small subunit ribosomal RNA
Source: RNAcentral